GAUGAACGCUGGCGGCGUGCCUAAUACAUGCAAGUCGAGCGAACAGACGAGGAGCUUGCUCCUCUGACGUUAGCGGCGGACGGGUGAGUAACACGUGGAUAACCUACCUAUAAGACUGGGAUAACUUCGGGAAACCGGAGCUAAUACCGGAUAAUAUAUUGAACCGCAUGGUUCAAUAGUGAAAGACGGUUUUGCUGUCACUUAUAGAUGGGUCCGCGCCGCAUUAGCUAGUUGGUAAGGUAACGGCUUACCAAGGCAACGAUGCGUAGCCGACCUGAGAGGGUGAUCGGCCACACUGGAACUGAGACACGGUCCAGACUCCUACGGGAGGCAGCAGUAGGGAAUCUUCCGCAAUGGGCGAAAGCCUGACGGAGCAACGCCGCGUGAGUGAUGAAGGUCUUCGGAUCGUAAAACUCUGUUAUUAGGGAAGAUCAAAUGUGUAAGUAACUAUGCACGUCUUGACGGUACCUAAUCAGAAAGCCACGGCUAACUACGUG
This 497-nucleotide ribosomal RNA is filed under the name uncultured bacterium. Its description in RNAcentral is "partial 16S ribosomal RNA". It matches the Rfam family "Bacterial small subunit ribosomal RNA", at positions 28 to 507 of the family's 1533-position model. The record is from RNAcentral.